Penaeus vannamei (Pacific white shrimp) is the source of this 813-nucleotide non-coding RNA. The record is from RefSeq and is a predicted model, not a curated record. NCBI's taxonomy places the organism in Eukaryota, Metazoa, Arthropoda, Malacostraca, Decapoda, Penaeidae.
UUGCAUUCUGAGACUAUUACACUAUUUUUUCAGGCCAUCCGGAAGGGUUGUAAGUGAGAGUGAGGUGAGUGCGGCUGAUUUUCUCAUCAACAGUGUUGGACAGAACACUUGUAAGCUCUAUACAGAUGCCAUUCUGAAGAUCCCAGAGAUAACUACAUCCAUGAUCACACAGCUCACUACAGAUAUUGACUAUAUCUGCAACAUCUUGGAGGACCUGGGCGUCACCUCUUGUGAUCCACUAGACAAGCUCAACCUCCUUCUCAAAGCACCAGUGGAACAGUAUUGGAAGAUUGCUCCUGGAAAUAACCCACGUCUCAUUGCUGCAGUUCGACAAAUGCGAAACAUUCCUGUACAGUCAUAAUAAUAUAUCUUUUUUAAUUGUUAAUAUUAUCUUUGAGGGUUGGUGCAUUUUUGGAUGUUUGGAUUAUUUUAUUAAUAGAGCAGAAUAUAUAUAUAUAUGAUUGGUUGUUUGAUUUUCUGUCAUAUGUAUUUGUGAGUAAUGAUAGCAAAAGUUACUAAAUACUGUAAUGUAAAAGAAUUUAAAUUUAAAUUAUUGGCUUGAUAUAAAGCAAAAGGUAUAAUUUGAAUCAGUGAAUAUUCACAAUAAUGUUUACAUAUUUGUGAAUAGAUUUUUACUCAACAUUCACUGAUAGAGUUGCCUUUGAAUUGUUUAUACUGGUAUGAAAUAUAAUUGUUUUAUUAUGAAUAACUGUUAUGCUUUAGCUUCCAUGAAUAUGUGGUGCCUUUGUACAAGAUAGUGAACAUUAGAACAUGUUCAUUUAUUUGUUUAUUUGAAUAAAUGAUUUGAUGUUU